This 400-nucleotide ribosomal RNA is filed under the name uncultured bacterium. RNAcentral describes it as "bacterial SSU rRNA". It matches the Rfam family "Bacterial small subunit ribosomal RNA", at positions 29 to 425 of the family's 1533-position model. The record is from RNAcentral.
AUUGAACGCUGGCGGCGUGCUUAACGCAUGCAAGUCGUGCGGUAACAGGCGUAGCAAUACGUGCUGACGAGCGGCGAACGGGUGCGUAAUACAUGGGAAUCUGCCCUUUAGUGGGGAAUAACCCGGCGAAAGCCGGGCUAAUGCCGCAUAAGAUCUUCGGAUGAAAGCGGGGGAUCGUAAGACCUCGCGCUGAUGGAUGAGCCCACUGUCGGAUUAGCUAGUUGGUGAGGUAACGGCUCACCAAGGCGACGAUCCGUAGCUGGUCUGAGAGGACGGCCAGCCACACUGGGACUGAGACACGGCCCACGACUCCUACGGGAGGCAGCAGUGGGGAAUAUUGGACGAAUGGGGAAACCCGUGAUCCAGCGACGCCGCGUGUGUGAAGAAGGCCUGCGGGUUG